RNAcentral lists this long non-coding RNA (280 nucleotides) under Elaeis guineensis (African oil palm). RNAcentral's name for it is "long non-coding RNA (EGUI_LNC011311)". The record is from RNAcentral. Lineage: Eukaryota; Viridiplantae; Streptophyta; Magnoliopsida; Arecales; Arecaceae.
GGGUUUAAGAUAUCGGUCACCUAUAGUAGCAUGGCUUUUCUGAUGAUCAAAUCUAACAUCCAUCAUGCUUAAUAUUAUUCUUAGUUCCUACUGCUAACAAUACUCCACUUGCUUUCAAUAUCACUCAUCUAAAGUAACCAAAAUUAGUAAUUUACUCCUACAUGGUUCUAACAGAUUAAACCUUACAUGUUAUCAUGAAGCACAGCAGGGGUACUCAAGCUUUGACAUGUCAAUUUCCAAAAAAUCCAAAAAUAGUACACUUGUAUACAAGAAAUCAGGA